UAUGUGAUCGUCUCUCGCAUAUCAAUAAGCGGAGGAAAAGAAACUAACAAGGAUUCCCCUAGUAACGGCGAGCUGAAGCGGGAAGAGCUCAAAUUUGAAAUCUUAAAGGGUUUCCCUUUACGAAUUGUAGUUUAAAGAAGUGUUUUUCUGUUGAGGUUUUGGUAAAAGUUCUUUGGAAUAGGACAUCAUAGAGGGUGAGAAUCCCGUAUUUGACCUUUACUUUCAACUUUGUGAUACACUUUCAAAGAGUCGGAUUGUUUGGGAAUGCAGUCCAAAAUGGGUGGUAAAUUUCAUCUAAAGCUAAAUAUUGGCGAGAGACCGAUAGCGAACAAGUACCGUGAGGGAAAGAUGAAAAGAACUUUGAAAAGAGAGUUAAACAGUACGUGAAAUUGUCAAAAGGGAAGCGUUUGGACACCAGUGUUGUUUUUUCUGAAAAUCAAUUAAAGAACUGUUUAUGCUAAGCUGUUUAGACUUUAUCAGCUAAUCUGUUUAGUUUUGAGCUUUUCUUUAAUGCACUUUUCAGUUAACAAGUCAACAUCAAUUUCUUUUGCUGUAAAAAAGCUUGAGGAAGGUGGCUUGAGAUUCGUCUUAAGUGUUUAUAGCCUCUUGCCUAUGCAGUCGGAGAGAUUGAGGUCUGCAGCGUAGAUCCUUCGGGGCUAAAUGCAUUUGUGCUAAGUUAUAGCAUUUUAUAGACAACUUGUUGACUAUGAUUUGUCUUGUAGCUUACUCGCUUAUGUUAUUUUACCUACGCUUAGGAUGUUGAAGACUCUACAGAGAUA
RNAcentral lists this ribosomal RNA (779 nucleotides) under uncultured Neocallimastigales. RNAcentral describes it as "partial large subunit ribosomal RNA". It matches the Rfam family "Eukaryotic large subunit ribosomal RNA", at positions 24 to 628 of the family's 3401-position model. The record is from RNAcentral. Lineage: Eukaryota; Fungi; Neocallimastigomycota; Neocallimastigomycetes; Neocallimastigales.